AUACGGAGGGUGCAAGCGUUACUCGGAAUCACUGGGCGUAAAGCGCGCGCAGGCGGUCUUUUAAGUUGGAUGUGAAAGCCUACGGCUCAACCGUAGAACUGCAUCCAAAACUAUUUAGCUAGAGUGUGGGAGAGGAAGAUGGAAUUAGUUGUGUAGGGGUAAAAUCCGUAGAGAUAACUAGGAAUACUAAAAGCGAAGGCAAUCUUCUGGAACACUACUGACGCUGAGGCGCGAAAGCGUGGGGAGCAAACAGGAUUAGAAACCCUAGUAGUCC
Molecule: ribosomal RNA, 274 nt
Filed under: uncultured bacterium
Lineage: Bacteria
Description: partial 16S ribosomal RNA
Rfam family: Bacterial small subunit ribosomal RNA
Source: RNAcentral